GUAGGUGAACCUGCGGAAGGAUCAUUAUCGUACAACGGAGGCGCAAGGGCUGUCGCUGACCUUCAAAGGUCGUGCACGCCCGAGCCCCUCUCACAAUCCAUCUCACCCUUUGUGCAUCACCGCGUGGGUCCCCUUUGCGGGAGGGCUCACGUUUUCACAUAAAACUCGAUACAGUGUAGAAUGUUUUAUUUUGCGGUCACACGCGAUCAAUACAACUUUCAACAACGGAUCUCUUGGCUCUC
RNAcentral lists this unclassified non-coding RNA (242 nucleotides) under rhizosphere metagenome. Its description in RNAcentral is "partial ribosomal RNA internal transcribed spacer region". The record is from RNAcentral.